AACGAACGCUGGCGGUAUGCCUAACACAUGCAAGUCGAACGAGAUCUUCGGGUCUAGUGGCGCACGGGUGCGUAACGCGUGGGAAUCUGCCCUUUGGUUCGGAAUAGCAGUUGGAAACGACUGCUAAUACCGGAUGAUGACGAAAGUCCAAAGAUUUAUCGCCAGAGGAUGAGCCCGCGUAGGAUUAGCUAGUUGGUGGGGUAAAGGCGCACCAAGGCGACGAUCCUUAGCUGGUCUGAGAGGAUGAUCAGCCACACUGGGACUGAGACACGGCCCAGACUCCUACGGGAGGCAGCAGUGGGGAAUAUUGGACAAUGGGCGAAAGCCUGAUCCAGCAAUGCCGCGUGAGUGAUGAAGGCCUUAGGGUUGUAAAGCUCUUUUACCCGGGAUGAUAAUGACAGUACCGGGAGAAUAAGCUCCGGCUAACUCCGUGCCAGCCGCCGCCGUAA
RNAcentral lists this ribosomal RNA (449 nucleotides) under uncultured bacterium. Its description in RNAcentral is "partial 16S ribosomal RNA". It matches the Rfam family "Bacterial small subunit ribosomal RNA", at positions 29 to 523 of the family's 1533-position model. The record is from RNAcentral.